ACAUGAUGGGUGACAGCUUCAUCAGCAUUGAGUCUUCUGGCAGACUUCUCAACAUUCCUACCAUUCAAAGGAAUGGCGGCAUUCCUUGCAGCAAUCGCCGGGAAGUCAACGCUACCAAACUGGAUGGUAGCUCCAGCAUUUCCAGUCUCAAUAACAGCAUUAGCCAACUGAAUCCUGGCUCCUCGUCCCAGCUGGACGGUCAUCGGCGUGUUCUAUAGAUCCAUCUGCAUAAAUGAAAGGCAAGGGUUAGUAAUCAGAAUCUGAUACAUCACCCCGCACUUUCAAAAUGCAGAGACUUGCACAGAACACAAAAACACAA
Long non-coding RNA from Dendrobium catenatum, 319 nucleotides. RefSeq lists it as uncharacterized. The record is from RefSeq and is a predicted model, not a curated record. Lineage: Eukaryota; Viridiplantae; Streptophyta; Magnoliopsida; Asparagales; Orchidaceae. The transcript has 3 exons.